UACGUAGGUGGCAAGCGUUGUCCGGAAUUACUGGGCGUAAAGUGUGCGCAGGCGGCAAGGCAAGUCGAGUGUGAAAGCCCCGGGCUUAACUUGGGAAUUGCGCUCGAAACUACUUUGCUGGAGUGUGGCAGAGGAAGGUGGAAUUCCACGUGUAGCGGUGAAAUGCGUAGAGAUGUGGAGGAACACCAAUGGCGAAGGCAGCCUUCUGGGCCAACACUGACGCUCAUGCACGAAAGCGUGGGGAGCAAACAGG
Molecule: ribosomal RNA, 253 nt
Filed under: uncultured bacterium
Lineage: Bacteria
Description: partial 16S ribosomal RNA
Rfam family: Bacterial small subunit ribosomal RNA
Source: RNAcentral